AUUGAGCGCUGGCGGCAUGCCUUACACAUGCAAGUCGAACGGUAACAGGUUAAGCUGACGAGUGGCGAACGGGUGAGUAAUAUAUCGGAACGUGCCCAGUCGUGGGGGAUAACGUAGCGAAAGCUACGCUAAUACCGCAUACGAUCUACGGAUGAAAGCGGGGGAUCGCAAGACCUCGCGCGAUUGGAGCGGCCGAUAGCAGAUUAGGUUGUUGGUGAGGUAAAAGCUCACCAAGCCUGCGAUCUGUAGCUGGUCUGAGAGGACGACCAGCCACACUGGAACUGAGACACGGUCCAGACUCCUACGGGAGGCAGCAGUGGGGAAUUUUGGACAAUGGACGCAAGUCUGAUCCAGCAAUGCCGCGUGCAGGACGAAGGCCUUCGGGUUGUAAACUGCUUUUGUACGGAACGAAACGGUGAGCUCUAAUACAGUUUGCUAAUGACGGUACCGUAAGAAUAAGCACCGGCUAACUACGUGCCAGCCGCCGCGGUAA
Molecule: ribosomal RNA, 493 nt
Filed under: uncultured bacterium
Lineage: Bacteria
Description: partial 16S ribosomal RNA
Rfam family: Bacterial small subunit ribosomal RNA
Source: RNAcentral